AAAAUGUAUAACUGCCCUGCCGAUGCCAUGCACAGGAUGCGUGCUCUUGCGCCCAGAGAAAGAGAGAAUGCCAAGGCCGCCUGUCUUGCAGACGGACAGAGGGAGAGCCAGGGCUCAACAUGGCUCAGGCGUGCUGGUGCCCAAAGAGAGAGUAACGCUACUGACCCCUGUAGGGGAGAGCCAGUUGCCUUGAAGGGACUUUGGCUAAAAAAAUAAACUGUCAAAGGAACUGGCAUUUGCUGACUGGACUACAGCACAUCUCGAAGAAUCUGCAGACUGAAACCUUCAAGGCAUUCAUGAAAUGGUCUUCCCUUAGUUCCCCUGCCUUUUCCACUCUUUCUGCCAUUUGGAUUUCACACUGGAAGUUCAAGAGAUGACAUCAGAAAACAGAAAAGCCAGUGGGAAAGGCAAGGUAUAAAGAACUUUCAGGGAAUACUCACAUCAUAAAUUCGGUCAGUGGUGUUCAAAGCAAAUUCUGCUGUUUCAUUGGCUUCACUAACAUAAUUAACAAUAUUUUCAUAGACAUUUGAUGCAUCCAAAGCCUUCUGUACCAGCCCGUUCAUAUCUGAACUGUGCAACUUCCUGUUAAUAAACAAACAUUGUUAUUUCUCCUUCUUACCUUCUUGGGGAAUGGGGCCAUGUUUAAUGCUUGCUUUUUAAAUACUUCUAGGAUCACAGAUGCUUCCUUCCUGUUAUUCAAAGUCACCUAGUGUGGCAAGGUUUUCUUGAGGGUCACACCUCCUCUGCAUUCUUCUGUCUUUGCUGAACAGCAUUUUGGUUCUCUGACAGCUGCCUGUCUGGCAGUAGCAGCAGGAAAAGGGAAUGACGAUUUAAAAACAGCCCUCUGCACUUCUUCUUGCAGGAGUUUGUUUAUGUGAUGGAAGUCAGGCAGAGGAAUGAACCAUUAUGAUGACUACCUAGUGCUUAUCCAAAUCAGCAUUGUUAUUUCCUUUCUGUAGAGGAAGCCAAGGCUCUAGGAGAGUAUGCAGAGCUUGGCCAGGGCACGUAUUGUCAAGGUUUGUUUCACUCCUGAGGCCUGGCUGCAUCCUGGGCCUCAGGAGUGAGACAGCCCCAGCCCUUCCUCAGCACACAGCCCCACCUCAGCCCACCCUCACCCCUGCCCUUUCACACGAUAGUCUCUGCCUUUGCCCCUCUCUGGCCUGUGUAAGGUUCAUCCAACAUUUACUGAGUACCCAUCACACAGGGUACUUGCACACUUGCACACAGGGGCUAAUAAUGUGAGAUAUAACAGGAAUAAAAUAUAGAAAUGCUUGGUAUACCAUGCCUGGCAUCUGCUAAUCGUCAGGGUUUAUUAUUAUACCUACACCAUUUCCUGAAUUGGGAUUUUAAAACUCUAUGUGUACCCGCAUAAUUUAUUUUAUUGACAAAUACUUCUACUGCCUCUGUAAUAUAAACUCUAACCUCCACUUCCGCAGUUCGUCUAAAUCCUUUGUCUUAAUUUUAUUCAGUCUUAAAUCCACCAAUUCCUUAUUUUUUUUUCUCAGUCCCAAACAUCGAUGAUUAGUAUCAUCACCUCAUUUGUCAGUAACUUCCAGAAGGUCCUCCGUGACCCAGUAUAUGACAUUGCAGAUCCCACACUGGCUCCUGUCUUCAAACCGCCUGACCUGUUGAGCUCGGUAAUUGUUCCUCAAUCUCCAGCAUCCAGUUCCAGUCCCUGUGUGCUCCCUUAGAGGGACUUUCUCUAUAUUUCUUUGGCUACUUCCCUCUCUGUUAACCAAGUCUAUAAUCAUUCUACCCCCUCUACAAAAGGGCUGACUCAUCCAUUAGGCACAGCGUUUUCAUUUUUUUUUCAAUCAGAAGGAAAAAAUGAGGAUAACAAUAAUAAUGGUAUUAAUCUUUAUACCAAUGCAGACAUGAAAUAAAGGUUUUACUUUUUCUAUGGAGAAAGGAACCCACCAAGGCAAAAGUGUCUAGGGCCUAUAGAAGUCAUGGGGCUCUGCUCUACAGAGGGGAGUCUAAUCUAAAUACUCACUACCUGUUCCUCCCCACAACCCCUUCUGAGAAAAUGGCCUCAGAUAGCAAAAUCUGGGGAAGGCAGACAAGAAAACAUUUUUUAAAAAAGGGACAAAAGAAACAAAAUGUUACAAAUAUUUAUUAAUAUUUUAAAAUUUUGCUGGCGAGAGUGGUAAGAUGUACCAAAGAUCAUGAAACAAAGCCUUUAUUACUUUGCUUUUAAUACUAGGCACAGAACAAGUACUAACUCAGUAUUCAAAUUAAACAUGUGCUAUUGAAAUGGAAGCUUCUUAAUGAAUUUUGUUUAUCUUUGUUCGAGCAUAGCACGUAAAUCAUUGUGUACACCAGACAGAUAUGGAAGGAUACUCACCUUUUGAAUGAAGAUGUCUCUAAGUUGAAAUGCUUUCAUGAAUAUAUAGUCAGAAAUAUUCUAAAUACAAAAGGACUUGAGGGUGAUUGAUAUUUUGGAUCAUGUUUCACGUAAAGCAUGUAGUAACUGUCUUAGAAUCAUGCUGGAACACUGUUUGUUGCAGAGUGGCAUUAUACACAGAAGUUAUAUUUUGGAAUCCCAAUGAAUGGGAUGUAGGUACAAAAUGACAAAAGAAUAAUGAAGAGAGCCAUAAGAUGGAUCUCAAAAACAACAUUCUGCUAAUAUAGUAUAUUAUCAAAAUAGUGUUUUUUCUAAGCUCCAUUUUAUUGCCUUCAUCAAAAGCUCAUGUUUCUAGGGCCAUGAUACCGAGUGGGAUAUGGCACUGUCUCACCCACUGACACACCAAGAUUUUAUAUGACCUCUCUCUUUCUUUUCUUCUCUCUUCGUAGGAGAUUUGGAAGAGUGUUUGAAAAUUUUGGCAAUCAAGAAUAAGAAGGUGAUUUAUAUUUUGAACAGAAGUUAAUAUUGGUUCUUAUUUUAUUAAUGACCUUUACUGGUCCUUUUUUCCUAGUCUUUCUCUAUAAUGAUCUCAUUAUUUGCCUAUUAUUUCAGGGUCAUGAAUUCAAUUCUGAUCUUUCAGUACUUUUCAGUUAACAUUAAUUGAGUGUCCAAGAGGUGUGUGAUUCUAUUCUAGGUGCUGGGAGGAAAAUUGCCAAUUGAUUUUCUCUUAACAGGUGUUGAAAUCAAAUAGUUCCUGCUGGGCACUGUGGAGUAUUUAUCAGAAGUCAGUUAUAUUGCCAAUUCCCGACCAGUUUUACUUAAGACACUUGGGUGUGGAAAGAUAAUGCUGUCUAUGAAAUAAAUAGGUAAUGUUAGAAUUAGACCUUCUAAAGGGAUCUGAUUUAUUUGACAAUGUUUUAUACAUUGUCUUUGGUCAUCCUACUAAAAAUUGUGGAACAGACACCCCCCUCUUCCCGGAACACAGACCUUUAAUAUGACAGAUUUUUUUUAAAUAAAAAAGACCAGCUCCCCCAAACAAUUGCAAUGAACAAUGAUGGACUCUCAGAUGGAACAACCAACCAACCAACCAACCAACCAAGCAACCAAGGAACCAACCAACCAACCAACAUAUCAACACAUAAGCAUACCCAACCUUAAUCAACCUGGUAAAAUUGUAUCCCAGUAGUUCUGACAUAUGGAAUUGAAUAGUAAUAUUUUAUUCACCCCAUGUAGAUAUUUGCAUUUCUAAAACCAGGAUAUUACCUGCUCAAUUCAUUAGCUUCUUGUUGAAGGUCCUGUGCAUGGUCAAUAGCUUCUUGGACUAAAUCAUGGCUGAGGUUACUUAGGUUAGAUAGUUUUACUUGUAGUUCACUUUUGGCUCCAUCUAUUUCUGCAUAAAUCCCUGACGCAUUCUAAAGAAAAAAAUUUUAAUAAAUACAUUGAAUUUAGAAGAACUUAAAACAUUUUUCCUAGGCACCAAAAGAUAAUCUCUGUUCUUUCUUAUUAUGAAGGUCAGUAAAUUUCAGUGCAGGACCACAUAAGUCUAAAAUACUGUAAGUAUAUGUCUAUUUAUCCCGCAUUGCCAGCUCUUUCUUCUGUAUUGAUUGCUUCCCUAGCUAGCAUUCACAACCCAGAAAUGCUCUACCAUUUCAGACCUAAAAACUAAAACUAAACU
This 4019-nucleotide long non-coding RNA is filed under the name Homo sapiens (human). RNAcentral's name for it is "HSALNT0111661". The record is from RNAcentral. Lineage: Eukaryota; Metazoa; Chordata; Mammalia; Primates; Hominidae.